AGUUGCUAGGUGACUUUGCAGAAGAGAAACAAAUAGAAACCCUUUUCCAAUUGAGAAGAAAAUUAACGGGAAAAGAUGUUUAGAGGCAACACAUCUGCAGAGUGUUUUUUUUUUUCUUUUUUGUAUUUUUAACAGUAUUAACACUUAUAAGUAGUAAAAGUAAUUAUGGUGGUCGGAUUUUGACACUUGGAGAGAAAAACUUACAAGGAAUGUCUGGUAACAAGCAUCAAGUAACUCUAAGUCUAGGCUGAGGAAUGGGGAAUAUUGAAGAGCUUGGAAACAAUUAGAAUUUAAAGUCCUAGUUUCAGAACUCCAAAGACUCUUUUUUUUUUUUUUUUAAUUUCAAUUUGUAAUAUUCCUUUAAGAGCCAUUUGGUGCAAUUCAUAGCCUGAUUCACGCCACUGGCGGCCUCUGAUUUCAGUAAGAAAUGCAGAAAUUUAUAGUGGAAUGUAAAACGGGGACAGGUUUUUAGUUUUCUAAAUUGAGGUUUUAAACUAGCAAACUUCUGAAGGUUUAAGAAGCCACAUAGCUGAGCUACGGGAAUCUGGUUUCUUUUCCGGUCAGAACAAAUAAACACACAAACACAUAUCUAACUCACAAAGUGUUGGAAGAGAUAAAGCAAUGCUCUUUACAAAGGAGGAAAACAAAAACUCAGCCUUGUGGGCAACAGAAGAAAAGUCACAUUGGCCAGCAGACAGCACCCUACGCUGGCAGAGGGAGAAAUCUGAGUUCCAGCGGCGUCAGGGGCAUUUGCACACAGCCUCCCGUUUCAAGUUGCAUGUCUCCGGAGUCCCAGGGAAGGCCCCAGCCUGUCUCCCUUCUCAGAGCCCCAGGGAGUGAUGAAAAGCCCCUGAACCAGCCACAGGACUCGCAGAGACACUGGGGCUCAGAAAGAUUGACUUGGUCAAAGUCUCACCGCCUGUAGGGGGUGCAGAGCCGAAGAGGUCAUGACAGUGCAGAGAGCACAGUUUGACUGUGACAUGACAGGCGUCGGCUGGGAUUCAUCCUCCUCACUCAGAAGAAAGUUCUCAGAUCUCUUCUGAAGAGACAGAAAAGACAGGAUAUAAAAAUAAAAAUGGAAAGGGUUUUCUCAGCAGGAAGGAUGGGCAUCUGCUUUUCCUGGACCCACUAUUUCUUCUCCAGGGACCGCCCAGGCCUUCCAACAAAAACCUCUGGGUCUAAGCCUCUGCAGGUGCCAUCCAAAGAUACCUGCGCCGGCAGCAGGGGAGCAUUGGCAGUGUUCCAAGAACUUAAAACCUCGUGAAACCUUGCGCUUGGGAGGAAUCUUGGAAAUCAGCCACCCAAUUCUUCAUUUGAUGCUUGAGUCUCUAUCAACCUCUGCUGGGAACUCACCCCUAUUCAAAAGCUUUGAUAACUUGGAGUGCUAGAAAGUCCUUUCACUGGACUUGAGAGCAGGACUGUGAUUUCUUGUUUGCUGUGAUAUUCCUACUCCCCCCCACCCACCCCCCACAACAGUGCUCAAUAAAUACUAGUUGAAUGGAUGGAUGAAUGAAUGAGCUAGUGAGCAGAUCUUCUGCCCAGUUUGUGUGGUUGCUGUGAAGGAGGGCGUCAGGGUCUGCCUGGGAUGCUGUCAGCGUGACUCAGCACAGCCUGUGCCUUGCUGAGGGCAGAUGCCCUUGGAACUUGAGGUGGAUAGGAGAGUUCCCAGCUAAGAGGUCCCUGGGGUGGGGAGACGAGUCUUUCCAGAGUUCCGAGUGCCAGGGCCGGGUAGCAGUCUUACUCCAUGGCCAUGACUUAUUACAUUCCCGAGUAAAUCGAAAUACAAUCCAUAUGUUCUGGGGUUAUUUACACGAUUCUCAUCAAGAUGCCACCGUUGCGUAAGAGCCAUUUGACAUCGAUGGCACGGCUUUCUUUCUUCCAUUCUGAGAAGAGUCCCUGAAGAAAAGCCAAUUCCACUGUCCCCGGAAAGGGAGGGGCAGGAGCACAGGGAACAGUCAUCUGGGGCAGCCCUGCUGGCAACGCAGUGCCUGGGGAGACUGUUUUCAGUGAGUCUCAUAGGGGAGGCUGAGGAAAGAGGGAGACUCCUGCCAAGCUGCAUGCCCCCGAGGGCUCUGCCAGCUGCUGCCAGCACGACUUCAGUGGAGGGCGGGGUGGAAAUGGCUUAAGGAGUUGCCAAAGAACAGGGAGGAAGAGCUGGUGCAUCGGGAAGAUGGGGGCUUCCAGGAAGGACACCUGGGUUGCAUUCUGGUGUAACUUUGGGUAAAUUACUUCCUUCCCACCGCCCCUGGGCCUCAGUUUCCCCUUCUGUGAAGUGUGAGGCUGCACUCAUGCUGCACCAUCCUUAUGCAUCCUGAUAGACUAUUCUAGGGUCCCUUUUUUAUAUCUUAUUGUGAAUAUUAUCCGGCAAUGCCUAGAUAAAUAUUUUUCAAGAAAAUAUCUUUACCACAAUCCUUAGUAAGAAAUACAUUUUACACAGUAAUCUAGUGUGUGUGUGUGUGUGUGUGUGUGUGUAUGUAUGUAUGUAUGUAUAUAUAUAAAUAUAUAAAACUGAAACAAAGUUUUCACAAAUCAAUGCUUACCCUUCCUACAAGGAUAGACAUGUAGAUUAAUGGACCAGCAGAAAGAGUCCAGAAAUAAAUCUACGCAUUUAUGGUCAAGUGAUUUCCAACCAAGGUGCCAAGGCAAUUCAGUGAGGAAAGAGAGCCUUUUUAGGUGCUGGCACAACUGGAUAUCCAUAUGCAAAAAUCCACCCAGACAACCAUCCAUCCAGACAUACAUAUAUACGUGUAUAUACUUACACCCUUACUUCACAUGAUACACAAAAAUGAAUUAAAAAUGGACCUUAGAUUGAAAUGUAAGAGCUAAAAGUAAGGAGCGAACUAUGUGUACUUGUUAACCACAAGGACGAUCCUCAUGAACAUUAUGUUAAGUGAAAGAAGACGAACGUGAAAGACUAAAUACUUUGUGUUUCCAUUUACAUGAAAUUUCUAGAAAAGGCAAAACAUUAGAGACAGAAAGCAGCUUGGAGGUUUAUUUGGGCUGUAGGGCUGCUAACAGGCAUGGGGGAACUUUGUGAAGUGACAGCAGUGUUCUGAAACUGUGGUGAUGGUUACACAGCCCUAUAAAUUAGCUAAAAAUCAUCAAAUUGUACACUUACAAUGGAUGAACUUUAUAAUAUGUAAAUUAUAACUCAAAGAGACACACUAAUAAAAUUAAACC
This is a long non-coding RNA of Aethalodelphis obliquidens (Pacific white-sided dolphin), 3180 nucleotides long. RefSeq lists it as uncharacterized. Lineage: Eukaryota; Metazoa; Chordata; Mammalia; Artiodactyla; Delphinidae. The transcript is spliced from 3 exons. The record is from RefSeq and is a predicted model, not a curated record.